Non-coding RNA from Acanthosepion pharaonis, 111 nucleotides. Lineage: Eukaryota; Metazoa; Mollusca; Cephalopoda; Sepiida; Sepiidae. The record is from the annotation of a GenBank genome assembly.
CAGCUAUAUCAUGUUGAUACACCAGUUCUCAUAUGAUCACCAAAGUUAAGCAAUGCCAAACCUGAUCAGUACCUAGCUGGGUGACCACAUGGGGAUAGCCUGUGUUGUAAG